GGAAGGGAAAGGGCUUGCUCCUUUGAUGUUAGCGGCGGACGGGUGAGUAACACGUGGGCAACCUACCUUAUAGUUUGGGAUAACUCCGGGAAACCGGGGCUAAUACCGAAUAAUCUGUUUCACCUCAUGGUGAAAUAUUGAAAGACGGUUUCGGCUGUCGCUAUAGGAUGGGCCCGCGGCGCAUUAGCUAGUUGGUGAGGUAACGGCUCACCAAGGCGACGAUGCGUAGCCGACCUGAGAGGGUGAUCGGCCACACUGGGACUGAGACACGGCCCAGACUCCUACGGGAGGCAGCAGUAGGGAAUCUUCCACAAUGGGCGAAAGCCUGAUGGAGCAACGCCGCGUGAGUGAAGAAGGAUUUCGGUUCGUAAAACUCUGUUGUAAGGGAAGAACAAGUACAGUAGUAACUGGCUGUACCUUGACGGUACCUUAUUAGAAAGCCACGGCUAACUACGUGCCAGCAGCCGCGGUAAUACGUAGGUGGCAAGCGUUGUCCGGAAUUAUUGGGCGUAAAGCGCGCGCAGGUGGUUUCUUAAGUCUGAUGUGAAAGCCCACGGCUCAACCGUGGAGGGUCAUUGGAAACUGGGAGACUUGAGUGCAGAAGAGGAUAGUGGAAUUCCAAGUGUAGCGGUGAAAUGCGUAGAGAUUUGGAGGAACACCAGUGGCGAAAGCGACUAUCUGGUCUGUAACUGACACUGAGCGCGAAAGCGUGGGGAGCAAACAGGAUUAGAUACCCCUGGUAGUCCACGCCGUAACGAUGAGUGCUAAGUGUUAAGGGGUUUUCCGCCCCUUAUUGCUGCAGCUUAACGCCAUUAAGCCACU
This 822-nucleotide ribosomal RNA is filed under the name Lysinibacillus fusiformis. Its description in RNAcentral is "bacterial SSU rRNA". It matches the Rfam family "Bacterial small subunit ribosomal RNA", at positions 68 to 870 of the family's 1533-position model. Lineage: Bacteria; Bacillati; Bacillota; Bacilli; Caryophanales; Bacillaceae. The record is from RNAcentral.